ACGGCAUGAUGGGGGCAUUUUCUUAUGAGGUCCUUUAAUAUUUCCCAUGCCUCAUGAAACUAUUCACUAUCAUGCUGUGAGAAGCUAGUGAGAGUUCGCCAUAUUUUU
Molecule: small nucleolar RNA, 108 nt
Organism: Cephalotus follicularis
Lineage: Eukaryota; Viridiplantae; Streptophyta; Magnoliopsida; Oxalidales; Cephalotaceae
Rfam family: Plant small nucleolar RNA R71
About the family: R71 is a member of the C/D box family of snoRNAs containing the C (UGAUGA) and D (CUGA) box motifs. Multiple nearly identical copies of this snoRNA have been identified in Arabidopsis, and it is thought to function as a 2'-O-ribose methylation guide for 18S ribosomal RNA.
Source: Rfam